GAUGAACGCUGGCGGCGUGCCUAAUACAUGCAAGUCGAGCGAACAGACGAGGAGCUUGCUCCUCUGACGUUAGCGGCGGACGGGUGAGUAACACGUGGAUAACCUACCUAUAAGACUGGGAUAACUUCGGGAAACCGGAGCUAAUACCGGAUAAUAUAUUGAACCGCAUGGUUCAAUAGUGAAAGACGGUUUUGCUGUCACUUAUAGAUGGAUCCGCGCCGCAUUAGCUAGUUGGUAAGGUAACGGCUUACCAAGGCAACGAUGCGUAGCCGACCUGAGAGGGUGAUCGGCCACACUGGAACUGAGACACGGUCCAGACUCCUACGGGAGGCAGCAGUAGGGAAUCUUCAGCGAUGGGCGAAAGCCUGACGGAGCAACGCCGCGUGAGUGAUGAAGGUCUUCGGAUCGUAAAACUCUGUUAUUAGGGAAGAACAAAUGUGUAAGUAACUAUGCACGUCUUGACGGUACCUAAUCAGAAAGCCACGGCUAACUACGUG
RNAcentral lists this ribosomal RNA (497 nucleotides) under uncultured bacterium. RNAcentral describes it as "partial 16S ribosomal RNA". It matches the Rfam family "Bacterial small subunit ribosomal RNA", at positions 28 to 507 of the family's 1533-position model. The record is from RNAcentral.